GACGAACGCUGGCGGCGUGCCUAAUACAUGCAAGUUGAGCGCUGAAGGUUGGUACUUGUACCGACUGGAUGAGCAGCGAACGGGUGAGUAACGCGUGGGGAAUCUGCCUUUGAGCGGGGGACAACAUUUGGAAACGAAUGCUAAUACCGCAUAACAACUUUAAACGCAAGUUUUAAGUUUGAAAGAUGCAAUUGCAUCACACAAAGAUGAUCCCGCGUUGUAUUAGCUAGUUGGUGAGGUAAAGGCUCACCAAGGCGAUGAUACAUAGCCGACCUGAGAGGGUGCUCGGCCACAGUGGGACUGAGACACGGCCCAAACUCCUACGGGAGGCAGCAGUAGGGAAUCUUCGGCAAUGGACGAAAGUCUGACCGAGCAACGCCGCGUGAGUGAAGAAGGUUUUCGGAUCGUAAAACUCUGUUGGUAGAGAAGAACGUUGGUGAGAGUGGAAAGCUCAUCAAGUGACGGUAACUACCCAGAAAGGGACGGCUAACUACGUGCCAGCCGCCGCAGUAA
RNAcentral lists this ribosomal RNA (513 nucleotides) under uncultured bacterium. RNAcentral describes it as "partial 16S ribosomal RNA". It matches the Rfam family "Bacterial small subunit ribosomal RNA", at positions 28 to 523 of the family's 1533-position model. The record is from RNAcentral.